Apis mellifera (honey bee) is the source of this 283-nucleotide long non-coding RNA. RefSeq lists it as uncharacterized. Lineage: Eukaryota; Metazoa; Arthropoda; Insecta; Hymenoptera; Apidae. The record is from RefSeq and is a predicted model, not a curated record. The transcript is spliced from 2 exons.
UGUAGUUUCUGCAGGUGCUGACGUGGAUGUGGAAAUUUCAUCAUUUUUUUUCAUGAGUGCCUAACACAUAAUGAAAACUGUAUAAAAUUUGUCUUUAAUUAAUUAUAAUUGAUAAUAAUUACUUGUGCAAUAAUGGAUGCUACUUUUUCUUUAUCCACUGCUGGAUGAAUUCGCUUGUUUUUCAAAUGAUGUGGAGUAUCUCUACGAUGAAGUCUAUUUGGUCUAUUUGAAUCACCACUACCAUCAUAAUCUGUACCUUCAGCUAUAGAAAAUUCUACAUGUC